This 774-nucleotide long non-coding RNA is filed under the name Ananas comosus (pineapple). RNAcentral describes it as "long non-coding RNA (ACOM_LNC027305)". Lineage: Eukaryota; Viridiplantae; Streptophyta; Magnoliopsida; Poales; Bromeliaceae. The record is from RNAcentral.
CACAACAGUUGGAAAUUUAAUUGUUGGGAGGAUAUUUUGGUCCAAAAAAUUUAAAAUUUUAAAAUAAUUUAAAAUUUUAAUAUUUUUAUAAAUAUAUUUUAAAAUUUUAUUUUUUUACUGAUAUAUUAUUUUUUUAAAAAAUAAUAUUUUUAUUUUUAUUUUUAAAAAAAUUUAAAUAUUUUUAAAUAAAAUUAAUAAAAUAAAAAAAGGUUGGCCUGAAGCUAGGCCUUGCCCGGCACGACCCGUACAGUCUGGGCCGGGCGGCUGUGUUGGGCAGGGUUCCAAGAACUUUGGGCCGGCACGGCACGGCCUGAUUUUGGGGCUGGGCCGUGUCGGGUUGGCCUCCGGCCCGUUUCGGCCCGAAAAAUAUGGACCGUGCCGGCCCGGCACGGCCCACAUUACAUCCCUACACAUAGGCCACGGAGGCAUGUGAGAGAGAAGAGAGAUUUAUCUUUUUGUGAAUAUAGAAGACGAGAGAAGAAUAGGAGAAAUUUAAAAAAAAGGUUUGAGUUGAAACUAUUCUAUUGCAGAAGAGGAGUUAGAUGUAAUAUUUUCUUAUUUACUAUACUCGUAUAUUUUUUGUUUGAUUUUCUAUUUUUUGUAAUUGUAUUAAUUUUUGCUGAAGAAAUGAAUUUAUGAAAAAAAUUUGAUUCGACGCUUUCGUUGCGAAAUUUCAAUAAUUUGCGAAUAGAAGAUCGGAGUGGACUCCCUUGUUAUCUAGCCCAAGCUCGAAUUACAUUUCUCAGCUCUAGCCCAAUAGAGCUCGAGAUAAAU